This is an RNA transcript of Ahaetulla prasina, 11196 nucleotides long. It is a transcript of the gene named PRELI domain containing 2, with no coding region annotated. NCBI's taxonomy places the organism in Eukaryota, Metazoa, Chordata, Lepidosauria, Squamata, Colubridae. The transcript is spliced from 2 exons. The record is from RefSeq and is a predicted model, not a curated record.
AGUAUGGUGGCAUAUCAGUUUCCCUUGCACCUGGAUGAAACUGUCUAUCUAGACCCGUUCCAGUCCGGUUUCCGGCCCGGUUACAGCACGGAGACGGCUUUGGUCGCGUUGGUGGAUGAUCUCUGGAGGGCCAGGGAUAGGGGUUGUUCCUCUGCCCUGGUCCUAUUAGACCUCUCAGCGGCUUUUGAUACCAUCGACCAUGGUAUCCUGCUGCGCCGGUUGGAGGGAUUGGGAGUGGGAGGCACCGUUUAUCGGUGGUUCUCCUCCUAUCUCUCCGACCGGUCGCAGUCGGUGUUGACAGGGGGGCAGAGGUCGGUCCCGAGGCGCCUCACUUGUGGGGUGCCGCAGGGAUCGAUCCUCUCGCCCCUUCUGUUCAACAUCUACAUGAAGCCGCUGGGUGAGAUCAUCAGUGGGUUCGGUGUGAGGUACCAGCUGUAUGCGGAUGACACCCAGCUGUACUUUUCCACACCGGACCACCCCAAUGAAGCCAUCGAAGUGCUGUCCCGGUGUCUGGAGGCCGUACGGGUCUGGAUGGGGAGAAACAGGCUCAAGCUCAAUCCCUCCAAGACAGAGUGGCUGUGGAUGCCGGCAUCCCGGUACAGUCAGCUAAAUCCGCGGCUGACCAUCGGUGGCGAGUCAUUGGCCCCGAUGGAGAGGGUGCGCAACAGCGUCCUCCUGGAUGAACGGCUGUCUCUAGAAGAUCACUUGACGGCCGUCUCCAGGAGAGCGUUCUACCAGGUACGCCUGGUGCGCCAGUUGCGCCCCUUUCUGGACCGGGAGGCCCUAUGCACGGUCACUCACGCUCUCGUGACGUCUCGCCUGGAUUACUGCAACGCUCUCUACAUGGGGCUUCCCUUGAAGGGCAUCCGGAGGCUACAGUUAGUCCAGAAUGCGGCUGCGGGUGAUAGAUGGAGCCCCUCGUGGCUCCCGCAUAACACCCAUCCUGCGCAGGCUGCACUGGCUACCUGUGGCCUUCCGGGUGCGCUUCAAGGUUUUGGUGACCACCUUUAAAGCGCUCCAUGGCAUAGGGCCGGGUUAUCUACGGGACCGUCUACUGCGACCAGAUACCUCUCACCGACCCGUGCGCUCUCACAGAGAGGGACUCCUCAGGGUGCCGUCAGCUAGGCAGUGUCGUCUGGCGACGCCCAGGGGAAGGGCCUUCUCUGUGGGGGCUCCCACCCUCUGGAACGAACUCCCCCCAGGACUCCGUCAACUUCCAGAUCUUCGAACCUUCCGUCGCGAGCUCAAGACUCAUUUAUUCAUCUGUGCAGGACUGGCUUAGACUUUUAAAUUUAGAGGGGUUUUAAAUUGAUUUUAAUAUUUAUAUUUCUAUUUUUAAAAAUUGGUAUUAUUAAUUAUUGGCAUUAGAAUAAGUCUUUUAAUGAUUAUUUUAAUUUGUAUAUUGAUGUUUUUUAUAUGCCUGUAAACCGCCCUGAGUCCUUUGGGAGAUAGGGCGGUAUAUAAGUUUAAAUAAUAAAUAAAAUAAAUAAGUAAUAAAUAAAUAAAUUAAUAUAUUUUGGAUUGCCAAUACAGCAAUCCAAAAUGUGAACCAUUGCAAAACAUUACAGGGUACCUAAAUUUGUAAAUGCUUAGGUUUUUUUUUAAUAGCAUCUAUCUGAAUAUAGAAUGGCAAACCAUUUUUGUAUUGUAUAACUUCAGUGAUAGUAUUUAAUUAGUUCAUUUGAAGUACAGUUGGAUGAAAUAGAAGAUUAAGUUGAGGAAUCCUAUUAUAACUAAAAAGUCUGUUUGAAGUAUGAAAUGUAUUUGAUAAAAGUACAUAGAGGUCAAGGUCAUAAGAUUCUAAUGGAUCUUAAAAUUUCUUGUAGACUAGUGAGGAUAUCAGGCUUAUAAUAAGCAUUGACACAUCUACAUACCCUGUUUCCCUGAAAAUAAGACACCCCUGGAUAAUAAGCCCAAUCGACCUUUUAAGCACAUGUGCUAAAAUAACCCCUCCCAAAAAAUAAGCCCUCCCUGAAAAUAUACACUGUAAGCCGCCCUGAGUCUUCGGAGAAGGGCGGGGUAUAAAUGUAAACAAAAAAAAAAUUAAAAAAAAAAUAUUUAAGUGCAUGCACAGCUGGUCCCUGCUGUUUCCUCUGGUUAGGGUUAGGUAGACAGAGCUGGAAAUCAGGUAAGACAGCAAGAGGAGCCCUGUCUUGCUCCAUGCACCCCAAAAUAAUAAGACCUCCCCGAAAAUAAGGCCAAGCGCUUAUUUCGGGGUUCAAAAAAUAUAUAAGACACGGUCUUAUUUUCGGGGAAACACAGUAUAUUCAACAUAUUUUUUCACUAUUGGUACAUCAAGUAGCUGAAGUGCCAAGAGGUAGUUAAUAUAUCCACCCAGAACCAGCAAAUUAAUUGCAUUAAAUAAAUGUUAUCAACAUCAAAUAGAGAUCUGGGUGAUGCUUAGAUAAAUAUUUGAGUUUCAAAUUACUUAAGUUUUGAUUAAAUAAAAUUAAGUUCUGGAGAAAUAGAGAUAUUGUUUCAACAUACAGCUUUCCAACCUGCAGUUUUAUAAUGAAGAUUGCUGGAGUGAGCUGGAGUGAAUUUAUGUUUCCCAAGCACAGCAGUUCCAUUGGGUCAUUUUUAAUUUCUUUCAGCAAUGAGAUGGUCUAACCAUUUGAACAGCUGUUGGACAGCUGGCUAAUGGACCCAAAAAGUGUGCCCACUGCCUGCUGCUUCCCUACACUUUUUCCUCUCUUAUUAAACAUGUUGAAAGCAGGAUGGAUGUUCCCAACAAUAUGAAUAUUAAGCAACAAUGGAGACAAUCCUUCUUUCCCGCUGUGUUUGAAUUUUGCCCUCAUUUUUCUGUAUGUGAACGAAACAUUCACAUAGGGGGAAAGCAAAAAGAUGAAAAUGAAUAUGCAUUGCAAUUAUUACAAAGGCAGGAUUGAAAUAUGAAGGCUGCUCUUACAGUUUAUUGAAAUGCUGAAGACCAACAAAACUCCCACCUAAAAAUACACACAUACAUCAAUAUAUUAUCUAGAACAUAAUAGAAGUAGUGUUGAGCCCCCAAGGAAGUUGUUAAGAAUUAUUUUGUUAAAUGGAUGUAAAAAUGCAUUAUUAUAGAAUCAAAAGUUUUUUUAUGUUAUUGUUUGUCAAUUAUGGUAACUUACCAGUUAGCAGGUGCUUCAUGAAUAGCAAGAUGUGCACCAGCCAGUGCUAGAAGGGCUAAUGGGCUAUAUUAAAAGAAGCAUUAUACCAAAAAUAUUUGAAGUUGUUACUCCCAUCUAAUCUAUCACACCUGGAACAUAGUGAAUGAUUCUGGGUAUUGCAUUUCCAGAAAGAUUGACAAGUUAGAAUAAGUUCAGAGGAGGGCAAGAAAAUUGAUAUAGAGAGAUGACAUGCUUUGUGAGGACAGGCUAAAAGAACUUGGGAUGGAGAAAAAACUAAAAGAAGAUAUCUUGGGAUUCAAGUUCGUAAAAGUGUGCCAUAGAGAAGAUGGUCAGGAACUAUUUUAAUUGCCAUGGAAACAAGGUCCAGAAAUAAUAGCCAACAAACAGUAAAUAACUACAUACAAAUGAUGGGUAUAAAUGUGGCGUCUGGAUGGGAAACAGCAGGCUUCAACUGGACCUGUUAAGGCUAAGUAGCUUUGGGUUUUAGGACCUUCUGGAUCUGGGACUUUAAUACUGGAGUUCCACUGACCCAAUCAGAUCUGGUGUGCAAUUUGGAGUCCUACUGAACUCAUGACUCCUGCUCAUAGAGCAGGUGCCAAUCGUGAUAGGAGGGAUUUUAUGCUAGUUGUGCCCUGGAUCAUGAGGCUCUACUUGCAGUUACUCAUGCUCAGGUCACCUUCCAAAUGGACAAUUGUAAUGUACUGUAUAUGAGGCUGCUCUUGAACAGAAUCCAAAAGCAUCAACUGCUGUAAAAGGGAAGUUAUGCAUGUCCCUAGAAUGGCACAUACUCAACCUUAGUUGACUAUGUGCGGCCUUAGUUACUGGCUUGCUUCCCGUUCAAUUCAAGGUGCUGGCUUUGAUCUUUAAAGCCCUACAUGGCAUUGGAUCAGGUUCUUUGAGGGACUACCUUUCCCUGGAUACUUCUACUCAUCCAUCAUGUCCAGCAGGAGGAGUGUGUGUAUGGCUCCCAUCUGCUGAAGAAUUCCAUCUAAUGGUGCCUGGGAGGUGGGCCUUUUCACAGAAUCUGCCCUUUGGAACAUCAUUGCCUCCUCCCCUCUCCCCCCAGUUCCCCGUGAUGAAAGUAGGCCUGACCAGGGGUGAAAUGUAAAAUUUGUUACUACUGGUUCUGUGGGCAUGGCUUGGGAGUUAAUGUGACUAGGUGGGCAUGGCCAACUUUUUUUUUUUUUUUUACUUUUAAAAGCAUUUUUUCUACAACCUCUUCGGCCGAAGAGGUUGUAGAAAAAAUGCCUUUAAAGUGUUCUGAUGAUCCCAGCUGAUCGUCAGAACCUCAUCAGAGGCUUUUUUUUUAAACUUUUAAAAGGAUUUUUUCGGCUGAAGAAAAAUUGCUUUUAAAAGUAAAAAAAACAAACCCUCUGAUGAUCGUGCAGCUCAGCUGGGCAUGGGUGGGGGGCAGGGAUUUUUGUUACCGGUUCUCCGAACCACCCGCUGCCAUCGCUACCAAAUCGGGCGAUCCGGUCUGAAACGGGAGCAUUUCACCCCUGGGCCUGACCCUAUUGGCAUUUAGGAACUCCCUGAAAACAGUUCUUUCAACAGGCUUGGGGAUCCCAUGGAAAUGGGGAUCCCAUAAAAUUGUAGCACUGUGUGUGGGAUGCUGGUUCAUUCAACUUAUUUUUUAUCUGUUUUAACUGGUUUCUUCAUAGAUGUUUUAACUUUUUAUUGUAUACUGCCUAGAAUCGUGUUUGUGAGAUGGGUGAUUAUAUAAAUCAAAUAAACAAGCUCAACUAACCAGAUUUCUUUCUUUUUUUUCCUUCUUCAAUUCAGUUGUGCUGACUGUCCCUGCAGUUUUGUUGGCAAGGUUUUUUAGAAGUGGUUUAUAAUUCCUUCUUGGGGCUGAGAGAAAGUGACUCUAGAAUUCUGGUGUUCUGUGUAAAAAGCUGUUCUUCAAAAUUCUAUCUAAUGGUCUCUGGUAUAAUUCUUGCCAAAGAGCAAACUUCUGUUCAUAAGCAGAGUGCUUUCACACCAUAGACAAAAUCCCAACUCCUGGGCCAUCUAAGCUGACUAAAGCUCCACUAUCUACUAGUAGUGCUCUAACUGCAGCAUCUAACUUAAUGUUGAUAUAGAAGAAUUGUAUCUGUUAAAUAUUACAGAUUGGUUGCAAUACGAGUCUUAGGCCUAGAGUUUCAUCUUAUAAUAGACCAUUCAGUAUUUGAAAUAGAUUAUUUUACUGUGUUGUUUGAGUUGCUCUGUUGUUAGCCCAUUAAAAUAAGCUGAAAUGUGUCUCUCACCUUUGUUUAACCAUAGGACAGUCAAUAUCAACUUAGUCUUUUCGAGUCUUUAGAUUGCUAAGGAACUAACAUCUGUUUGUUUGAUAGAGGGUUAUCAGGAGGAAUAUUGACUUCCUGGAUAGGUGACAAUGGGUCUAAAUUUGAGUAAGUGAGGAUCUGCCUAUAAUCAUGGCUCAAUAUAAUAUUCCCCUCCUAUAGAUAACCUUCCUGCUCGACAUGAAAAAAGAACAUAGAAUAAUGUUCUAUAACAUAGGAAGAUGCAGAAGAGACAGUCCAUUUAAGUGAUCAGGCCAGAAAUGAAUGACAACUGUGAAAUCAUGAAUAAUUUCUGACAGGGAAGCAUCAAAACAGAUACUCUACUUAAAACAAUCAGCUAGGAAGAUUUUGACAGUCCCAAAAUUGCUUGUGCUAGAUCUGAUGCACCAACGUAUAUUUUAAAAAGUUACAGAAAAAUUAAGCAAUUUAUGUGGCUGCCUGUAUUAUUUAGAAUCCAGAAGAGACUGAAUAGGAUAAUUGAUCAGAAUACUGGAAUCUUUUUGGAGAUAAUACAGAUUUGAUUUCUGUUUGUUUGUUUGUUUAAUUGAUAAUAGAUUCAUUUUUGUUCCAUAAUAGCUACACUUUUAUGAAACAUGGCAUUUUUUUUAUCUCCCUGAACCUUUCCUGUAUUUAUUGAAAUUGGUUUCUUAAUAGUUUUUAUUUUAUUGUUUCUUUUUGUCUCAAAGAGACUAUUAGAUGAAAUAUAAACAGUGAGUAAGACGAAUCAUAUUAAGCUGGAAUCUUUCUGACUCCAGAGAUAGAGUUUACUAUUUGACUUGUUUGGGUUACUGUAAAGAUAUUCUCCUUUAUAUAAAAAAUAUAUUGCCUAGUUAGUUGAUAUCAUUAUGUUAUUGAUGUUUUAGAUUUCAAAGAACUCCAGGUUGCCUUUCAUAACUAAUUCCCAAUGCAUCCCUUUUUUCAAUCCUUUCUCCAAGUGGAUAUGUUCAAUCCUUCAUGUUUGAAAAGAAUGACCUUUUGCUGUCUGAAGGAUAAUACCAAUAUGUCUACAGCUCAACAAAUAGCUUUUCUAAGGCCCAGCUGCCCUCACAAUCUUCUCAAAAUGUCCUCUGUGUAGCGGCUUCUGUGCAUUCUGCCUCUUGAGAGGGAUGGCUAUCAAAAUAGUUUGCCAGAGGACAAAGUUGAAAGGGAUUGAGAUCUUCCUCAUAGUAGGUAUUACUAUUGUGGUGAGCCUCAGUUGUAUGGUAUAUGGCCCCAUGAGGUGAGUUGAACAUAUUACUUGUACCCAUAAUAGUCUGGCCUUGGAAAUCACAGGAGUGUCAACACACUAUCAAAAUCAGUAGUGAUUAACAGUUGAAGAAGAUUGUCAAUUACAUGCUUGUUUGCAAUUUAAUCCUGGGCUUAAACUUAAAAUGCAAGGGUAUCUUUAUAGAAUAUAACAUUCAAUUAUUUUAAAUUCAAAAUAACAUUGUUUUAGCACCUGGGAUAUCUGAAUGGAACUAUAUUCAUUAAUUUGGUCAUGCAUACUCGAUAUUUGUUCUGUUCUAGAAACUAAAAGUAGCUUUUUUCCCCUAAUAGCACAGAUAUUAAACUGAAAUAAUAGUUCAUAAACUUAAUUCUCAAUUCAAAUCAUUUUCAAUAUAUUUACAUUAGUAACAUUCUUUCAUUAAUUGUAGGGCUUGCUUCCCAGUUUAUGUUUGCUGAAAAUCAAUUAUUAAAGAGUGACUAAUGGAAUAAUAAAUAUUUUUACAUCUAUUUCUCUAAUAAAAGAUGUGCAAUUUGAUUUUAAAAUCCUUCAUAAUAUUCAUAAUGUUUGCCCUUCAAGUAAUCUAUUGAUAUUCUAUAAACUUCUUUUGUAAAAUGUGUAACACCCAUAAAACUGACAUGUCAAACUGAGUUCUAAAAUGAGUUGUUUAGAAAUUAUAGGCAAACAGCGGAAAAAAAUGACUCCUUAGCAAAUAUUUGGAGGAAUAACAAACUGGCCACAACUUUAAUUCCUGAAGGUUAUAGACUAGAAUAUAUUAGAAUAAUAGAAUCUAUAAGUUGAAGGAUUCUCACAAUUUUUCUUGUCAAGCCUUCUGUUCAUAGCUAAUAUCCAUUAAACCAUCUCUUAUUGAUGUUUGUCUGCAAUAAGACAUUUAUUAUAGUUUUAGGCAGACUUUCACUGUUUAGUAGCUUUUAAUAUCUGGUUUCUUGUAAUAUUCAGCCUGAUUUUUUUUUCUUUUAGUCACCAAUUGCCAGCCUGUCUUUUGUUCUGUUUCAGAAAAAAACAGGCCCAUUUUUUAGAAAAUAGUUUUUUUUAGAAAUUUCUAGGCUGCUACUUUAUGUCUCCUUAGCCUUCUGUUUUGUAGGGUAAACAUGAUACUGAUGAUGUGCCAUCAUGGUCAGCUCCUUUCAUUCUUUUAGGGCCUCUAUUAUGGUAGCUCUGUUUGAUCCAACUUCCACUUCUCCAUGUCUCUUUGAAGAUAAAAUUGUUUAAACUUGGACACAGAAUUUCAAGUGAAUUGCUGCCAAAACAGAAUGCAACAAAAAUAUUUUCUAUGAUCUAGAAGCAAUGACUUUGUUACUGCAACCCAAAUUGUCAUUGACCUAUUUAGCUCCAGCAUCAUACUUGGUCACACUUAUGUGGUAACUGACUACAAGUAUUAAGUCAAUCACCACAUGUGUGUGUCCAAGAAGUGUAAUGCUGGAGCUAAAUAAGCAGUGGUGAAAUUCAAGUAAUUUAACAACCAGUUCUCUGCCCUAAUGAUUUCUUCCAACAACCAGUUUGCCAAACUGCUCAGAAAGUUAACAACCGGUUCCCCUCAAAGUGGUGCGAACUGCCUGAAUCCCACCACUGUAAAUAAGCCAGUACUUAUAGCUCCUAGUACUCGUAGUCAGAUACCAUAUUCUCCCUCAAAUUGCCCCAGGCCAGGUUUCCAGAAUUCUGUAUCUUGUAUAUCCUGUAGUGUGCCAGAGUUAGCUCCUUCUGACUCCAGAGUGUUGAUUGUUACAUUUUCACAAUAGAUCAAGAAUGGGUAUAGAACCCUCAUCCUGCCCAUGUCAUCCAAAAGUCUGACCCAAAGGUGCUUUUUCAAGAGCCAACUGGACAUUCUGGGUUUUUUUUUUCUUUAAAGAUGCUUCACUUCUCAUCCAAGAAGCUUCUUCUGAAAAAGCACUUUUGGGACAACCAUGACCUGGAUGACUGAGAAUCUCCAUAGGCAAAAAUCUGACCAAUGCCACUUCUUCCCCAUACCUGGGUCUAAAUCUUUAUGAAAAGUCUCCAGAUAAUCCACUUUAUCCAGGGGCCACUGAAAUUAUUUUCUAUCUACUAUUUCAGUCACAUUCUUACAAAUGGGAGGUUAGUUACUAAAUGAAAAUUGCCUGGUACAAUGGGGUCACUGAUGACUUCUUGAGGAGGAUAUGUACAAAGGUCUCUUUAAGAAGUAAUGAAACAAACUCUCUAACUCAAAGAAGAAUUUACACCCACUAGAACUCAUUCAUGUGAUACCCCUAGGUAACCUUAACAAACCAGGAGACCGUGGAUCUAAAGAUGAGCUCAUAAUCCUAAAGUGCAAACAGCUGUCUCAUUUGUGUCUGAUCAGAGAUCUAAGGCCUUGAUUAGUGUUGGUUACCUUACAUUGCACUUUGCUUUUCCAAAGCUUCUGCUGUCACCAGGUUGACUAUCCUUCAACUAUAUCUUCCUCAAACAUAUGCAACAAAACACAAGGAGCUGUUAGGGCCCAACUCUUUGUGCUUUGUUCCUAGGCCUCCUGGAGGGUUGCCUUGAAACAAUCAUAGAGUCAUAUUCUUUAUUCUUACCAGCAUCCUUGAAUUAAAGUAAAAGGCAUUGGAGGUUUUUCUCCUUUUUUUGGGUGCUGUUUUAUCUUUACAAAAUUAGAUUCAGCAGAAAGUUGGAAAGGAAAAAGCUUUUAACCUUUGGAGACCAUUGGUGAUCUUUGUCCAUUUGAGUUAGUGUGGCAGACAAAUGCCAUAUUUGGAAGACUCCUGCUGCUGCCCACUCUAUCUCUGUUUCUAUUCAGUGAAAAAGAAAUCUAAUGGCAACCCAUGAAAAGCUGUCUCAAGGAACAAUAGGUUCUUUUAGUUUCCCAUUUAUUUAUGAGCAAAGAGCUCAGCUUGUUGCAAAUUGCACUCAGGAUAGCAGCUACUGUAUAGAACAAAUAAGACAUGACUUUGUGCGUUUCCUGCAAAUAAAGGGUGGAACUUAUAGCUCUCCAGAUAACCUUGGGAUUCCAACUCUCCUCAUCCCAACCUCCAUUGCCAACGCUUGGAGAUGAUCAGAGUUGUAAUCCAACAAUGUAAAAGGAGAGCUGAGCCAGGCAAGGACAGUGACCAGAGGGGGCACCAGAUAUACCAGGAGGCUGCAGAGGAGAGCUGAUCUGGGUAAGUGAGCAAGCCAGUGACCAUAGGAGGCACUAGACACACCAGGAGGCUGCAGAGGAGGGCCGAUCUGGGUGAGUAAACAAGCCAGCGACCAGAGGGGUCAUCACCAGAAGGCUACAGAGGAGACCUGUUCCAAGUGAGUGAGUGACCCAGUGAAUAAAUAUUAAAUUGUCAAUCAUACUCAGAAAAAAACAAUUUCUCCCUAAAAAGUCUCUUCAAAAUCUCAUAGUUGCAAAGCUUUCUGAGAGAAAGAAAUACCAAUAAAAAUAAGAAUAUUUGUCUAUAUAUACCAUGCUUAAUUGUUAUUUGUGGUCAAGGGUUACAUUAUGUCCAUUGGAAUUAAAUUGUCUUUAGGCUAAUAUGGUUUCAUUGCAACCACUCCAGACAACGGCCACCCUUAAGAAAACAAAAUCCUUUCAUUUUUUCCUUAAAAAGAUAAGCAAUUAUUUGUUUUUUAAGAUAGGUUUGUUGUCUAAAAAAUAACGUUUUGUUAGUGUCUUACAACACAAUCCAAUAUUUAUUUUCUCAGGACUAUCAAGUUAGUGAAAUUGAGCUUGAGAGAAGAGAGAUACUUGUUCUCAAGCAAAUGUUAUAUUUUGUUUAUUCUAAAUCAGGGGUGUCGAACUCGCAGCAUCAUGGAGGCGUCACAUGAUGUAUCAGGACUUUCCCCCCUCCUUUGCUAAACUGGCAGUGGGCGUGGCCAGUACAUGACCCAUUUGGCCCGCGGGCUGCGAGUUUGACAGCCCUGUUCUAAAUGAACAAAUCUACUACAUAUGUUUGUUAUUUAGUACUGCAGUGGUCACUUGAGAAAUGAUUAGGAAGAAGUUUUUGAAAUCUUGCUAAUGACUAUUCCAUGAGUUUGGGGAAAAAGAGACAUAGUUCUGUUUAAUAAUCUACUUCUUAACCAGUCUCUUAAUCUAAUUUAAUGAAAUAGGUGGGGGGGUUUUCAGACUCACACUGAUGACUGAAGAACUACAAGCUGCUUAUUCAUUAAAGCAGGAAAAAACCACUCCAGGAAUGUGUUGCACUCACACUUACAUGAGGUCCAAAUCAUUUCUUAAUGAUUUUUGAAAUCAUUUUUUUUCAGCUUUCCCCCUGCAAGUUCAGGAUCCACUUUUUUCAGAUCAUCUAGGUGUUGGUCCAUUGGUUGUGACAGAAAUUGACCGACCAGACUGACAUCAUGGGCUGAGAUUGGGGCAAGGUUGCCCAGAUGGCUUUGAUGCAUAAGGCAGGAUUAAAACUCACAGCAGAAGAAAAAGACAAUUCAGAAUUUUAUGCAGUUUGGGAAAAAUGGUAUACUUGGACAGAUAAUAGAAAUAAAAAUUGGAAAUAUACCUAAGGCUAUUGAGGAUUAGUUAUUGAAUGUAUAUAAUGUAUAUGUCAUAUGGAAUGUUGAUCCAAAGCAUAUAGAAAUGACACAGUGUUGAUUAUGUACUAGAGUUAUGUAAAGGAAAAAAUUUAAU